ACUCUAAGCGGUGGAUCACUCGGCUCAUGGGUCGAUGAAGAACGCAGCAAACUGUGCGUCAUCGUGUGAACUGCAGGACACAUGAACAUCGACAUUUUGAACGCAUAUCGCAGUCCAUGCUGUUAUGUACUUUAAUUAAUUUUAUAGUGCUGCUUGGACUACAUAUGGUUGAGGGUUGUAAGACUAUGCUAAUUAAGUUGCUUAUAAAUUUUUAUAAGCAUAUGGUAUAUUAUUGGAUAAAUAUAAUAAUUUUUAUUCAUAAUAUUAAAAAAUAAAUGAAAAACAUUAUCUCACAUUUGAAUGUGAAAAACGAAGAGAAAUAUUUUCUUUUUCAAUCAAAUAAUACUGAGAAAUGUCUAGCAUAAAAAAUUGAAAUAUUUUUCAUCUAGAAUUGUCUCUUAUUAAUGAUUCGGAAAUAGAAAAAUCUUGGUUAUGUUAUUAUUCUUCGUUGGUUCGUUAAAAAUGGAUAAAUAAAAACUUUGCAUACAAGAAUUAAUAAAAAUGUUAUAACGAAUUUAAUUAAAUGUUUUAUCAUUAUAUAUAAAGAAUUUAUGGCAAGAUAAAGUUAUAUACAACCUCAACUCAUAUGGGACUACCCCCUGAAUUUAAGCAUAUUAAUUAGGGGAGGAAAAGAAACUAACAAGGAUUUUCUUAGUAGCGGCGAGCGAAAAGAAAACAGUUCAGCACUAAGUCACUUUGUCUAUAUGGCAAAUGUGAGAUGCAGUGUAUGGAGCGUCAAUAUUCUAGUAUGAGAAAUUAACGAUUUAAGUCCUUCUUAAAUGAGGCCAUUUACCCAUAGAGGGUGCCAGGCCCGUAUAACGUUAAUGAUUACUAGAUGAUGUUUCCAAAGAGUCGUGUUGCUUGAUAGUGCAGCACUAAGUGGGUGGUAAACUCCAUCUAAAACUAAAUAUAACCAUGAGACCGAUAGUAAACAAGUACCGUGAGGGAAAGUUGAAAAGAACUCUGAAUAGAGAGUUAAACAGUACGUGAAACUGCUUAGAGGUUAAGCCCGAUGAACCUGAAUAUCCGUUAUGGAAAAUUCAUCAUUAAAAUUGUAAUAUUUAAAUAAUAUUAUGAGAAUAGUGUGCAUUUUUUCCAUAUAAGGACAUUGUAAUCUAUUAGCAUAUACCAAAUUUAUCAUAAAAUAUAACUUAUAGUUUAUUCCAAUUAAAUUGCUUGCAUUUUAACACAGAAUAAAUGUUAUUAAUUUGAUAAAGUGCUGAUAGAUUUAUAUGAUUACAGUGCGUUAAUUUUUCGGAAUUAUAUAAUGGCAUAAUUAUCAUUGAUUUUUGUGUUUAUUAUAUGCACUUGUAUGAUUAACAAUGCGAAAGAUUCAGGAUACCUUCGGGACCCGUCUUGAAACACGGACCAAGGAGUCUAACAUAUGUGCAAGUUAUUGGGAUAUAAACCUAAUAGCGUAAUUAACUUGACUAAUAAUGGGAUUAGUUUUUUAGCUAUUUAUAGCUAAUUAACACAAUCCCGGGGCGUUCUAUAUAGUUAUGUAUAAUGUAUAUUUAUAUUAUUUAUGCCUCUAACUGGAACGUACCUUGAGCAUAUAUGCUGUGACCCGAAAGAUGGUGAACUAUACUUGAUCAGGUUGAAGUCAGGGGAAACCCUGAUGGAAGACCGAAACAGUUCUGACGUGCAAAUCGAUUGUCAGAAUUGAGUAUAGGGGCGAAAGACCAAUCGAACCAUCUAGUAGCUGGUUCCUUCCGAAGUUUCCCUCAGGAUAGCUGGUGCAUUUUAAUAUUAUAUAAAAUAAUCUUAUCUGGUAAAGCGAAUGAUUAGAGGCCUUAGGGUCGAAACGAUCUUAACCUAUUCUCAAACUUUAAAUGGGUAAGAACCUUAACUUUCUUGAUAUGAAGUUCAAGGUUAUGAUAUAAUGUGCCCAGUGGGCCACUUUUGGUAAGCAGAACUGGCGCUGUGGGAUGAACCAAACGUAAUGUUACGGUGCCCAAAUUAACAACUCAUGCAGAUACCAUGAAAGGCGUUGGUUGCUUAAAACAGCAGGACGGUGAUCAUGGAAGUCGAAAUCCGCUAAGGAGUGUGUAACAACUCACCUGCCGAAGCAACUAGCCCUUAAAAUGGAUGGCGCUUAAGUUGUAUACCUAUACAUUACCGCUAAAGUAGAUGAUUUAUAUUACUUGUGAUAUAAAUUUUGAAACUUUAGUGAGUAGGAAGGUACAAUGGUAUGCGUAGAAGUGUUUGGCGUAAGCCUGCAUGGAGCUGCCAUUGGUACAGAUCUUGGUGGUAGUAGCAAAUAAUCGAAUGAGACCUUGGAGGACUGAAGUGGAGAAGGGUUUCGUGUGAACAGUGGUUGAUCACGAGUUAGUCGGUCCUAAGUUCAAGGCGAAAGCCGAAAAUUUUCAAGUAAAACAAAAAUGCCUAACUAUAUAAACAAAGCGAAUUAUAAUACACUUGAAUAAUUUUGAACGAAAGGGAAUACGGUUCCAAUUCCGUAACCUGUUGAGUAUCCGUUUGUUAUUAAAUAUGGGCCUCGUGCUCAUCCUGGCAACAGGAACGACCAUAAAGAAGCCGUCGAGAGAUAUCGGAAGAGUUUUCUUUUCUGUUUUAUAGCCGUACUACCAUGGAAGUCUUUCGCAGAGAGAUAUGGUAGAUGGGCUAGAAGAGCAUGACAUAUACUGUUGUGUCGAUAUUUUCUCCUCGGACCUUGAAAAUUUAUGGUGGGGACACGCAAACUUCUCAACAGGCCGUACCAAUAUCCGCAGCUGGUCUCCAAGGUGAAGAGUCUCUAGUCGAUAGAAUAAUGUAGGUAAGGGAAGUCGGCAAAUUAGAUCCGUAACUUCGGGAUAAGGAUUGGCUCUGAAGAUUGAGAUA
RNAcentral lists this ribosomal RNA (2838 nucleotides) under Drosophila melanogaster (fruit fly). Its description in RNAcentral is "eukaryotic LSU rRNA". The stretch from base 573 to 2838 matches the Rfam family "Eukaryotic large subunit ribosomal RNA", at positions 1 to 1968 of the family's 3401-position model. Lineage: Eukaryota; Metazoa; Arthropoda; Insecta; Diptera; Drosophilidae. The record is from RNAcentral.